AAACCCCUAAUCUUCUUCAUCGCCAAAACUCACUGAUUUUUCUUCAUCUUUGAUGUCAUGUUCUCAAAUAUGGCAUUGGAUUCUCCUAGUUCCAAGCUUAAACCCUCCAAAUCAGACUAAACUUUGAACCCUAAAUUUCAAAAAAAAUCCUAAAUUGAACGCCAUUCUUGAAGCUAAUUAACAAGUCAUAUUGGAUCUACGAUUAUACACACAGAUGCACACGAAAUGGCAUGGGAAAAACGUGAAGAGAAUGGUUCAAAGUACUGGUUCGACGAUGCCGGCGAGUCUCUUCGAUAUUUGUUGUCGGGAGGACAAGAAGGAUGUUGGGCGCUUUGCUAUGGUUGUUGAGAGUCUGUGGAAUAACCGGAAUAAUAUUGUUUGGAAUGAUAACAGGGAAGACCUUGCGAGAAUUGGAAUCCAAGCUUAUUACAAUUGGCUUGAUUGGUUUAAUGCUCGGGAUGACCCUGCUUAGAAUAGUGAUCCUCAGCUCCCUAUGGUUUGGAACCCACCUGCUGAAGGGUGGUUGAAGUGUAAUGUUGACGCAGGUUUUAAUAAUCAUCAUCACACUACAAAUAGGGUGUGGUGUCUUCGUGAUAAUUUGGGGAGAUUUCUUGUUGCAGGUGUCGCUUGGGAUAAAGGUAUCACUUCUCCUAUAGAAGCUAAAGCUUUGGCGCUGAAGGAGGCAAUUCAGAUUGCUAUUAACAAGAACUUAAAUAAUGUGAUUUUUGAAAGUGGUUCCCAAGUGGUAACUCAUGCUGUUAAUUCUACGGUUACUGGGAAGUCGGAGUUUAAUAUUAUUAUUAUUGUUAUACAGAGAUUGUUGAGUCUUGUUACAAACUUUGAGGUAAAGUUUAUUAAGCGCCAAGCGAAUAUGGUUGCCGACUCUUUAGUUAAGGCGGCCAAUUCUUGGUCUAGGCGUAGUUUCGUUAAUGUUGCACCUCCUUGUAUUGACAUUUAUUUGGUUAAUGAUAUGAGUUAAAUUUGUUCCUGUAAAAAAAACGUGAAAUAUAAAGUUUUUGGAACCUACAUGUAUCGUGAAAUGCAUUUCAUGCGGCCGCGAAGGCAGCUACAUGCAUCGUGAGAGGCAAUCGCGACAGUGAUGUGCGCGUUCUGUUCUCGUGAAAUGCUUCUAAGCGGCCGCUUCCCUCCGCACCGCCGCGAAAACACCGAUUAUGACCGCGAUUAACUACUUAGUCUCAAUUUUGUAAAAUGUCUGAUUUAUCAUGCUUUUCUAUAGCAAUAAACUAAUCUUAGUUAAGAAAUUUAUGUAACCUAGAAACUAAUUGUAACUGAUUUUGUAAUUGUAGUUGUAAGCUUAAUUAAACAAUGUCAACUAAAAAGGGAAGCAUGGAUAGUGGAUCUGUAAGGAAACAUAUGAAACCUGCUGAGGAAAAGAAUGGAGAUGAAGCAGUACAAGAAAAGAUCGAGUUCAAUGAUUGGGUCAUCACACCUAUGGGAACUCAAUGUUCUAUCAUAUUCACAUAAUGAUAAUUGCUGGGGUAAUGGAGCAUCAGAUUUCUAAUCAGUUUGCUUCCCAAACCUGUCUCGUAAAUAUUUCUUACUGGGGAACGCAGGUUUUGCAAAACUGCGUUGAUUGUCAAAUUUAGGGAGUUGUUGAUUUGGAAACUGCCUACGAAAUUCUUUGUAAAAAA
Molecule: long non-coding RNA, 1652 nt
Organism: Vicia villosa (hairy vetch)
Lineage: Eukaryota; Viridiplantae; Streptophyta; Magnoliopsida; Fabales; Fabaceae
Exons: 5
Source: RefSeq, a predicted model, not a curated record